CCUACGGGAGACUGCAGUAGGGAAUCUUUCACAAUGGGCGAAAGCCUGAUGGAGCAACGCCGCGUGCAGGAUGAAGGCCUUCGGGUUGUAAACUGCUUUUAUAAGCGAGAAAUAUGAUGGUAACUUAUGAAUAAGGAUCGGCUAACUACGUGCCAGCAGCCGCGGUCAUACGUAGGAUCCGAGCAUUAUCCGGAGUGACUGGGUGUAAAGAGUUGCGUAGGUGGCAUAAUAAGUAGCUAGUGAAAUCUGGUGGCUCAACCAUUCAGACUAUUAGCUAAACUGUUAAGCUCGAGACCGUUAGGGGUAACUGGAAUUUCUAGUGUAGGAGUGAAAUGCGUAGAUAUUAGAAGGAACACCAAUAGCGUAGGCAGGUUACUGGGACGGUUCUGACACUAAGGCACGAAAGCGUAGGGAGCAAACGGGAUUAGAUACCCUUGUAGUC
RNAcentral lists this ribosomal RNA (442 nucleotides) under uncultured bacterium. RNAcentral describes it as "partial 16S ribosomal RNA". It matches the Rfam family "Bacterial small subunit ribosomal RNA", at positions 338 to 795 of the family's 1533-position model. The record is from RNAcentral.